GUCUGUGGCCAUGCCACCCUGAACAAGCCUGAUGUCUGAUCUCGGAAGCUAAGCAGGGUUGGGCCUGGUUAGUACUUGGAUGGGAGACCACCUAGGAAGACCAUGUGCUCUAGGCA
RNAcentral lists this ribosomal RNA (116 nucleotides) under Pteropus alecto (black flying fox). Lineage: Eukaryota; Metazoa; Chordata; Mammalia; Chiroptera; Pteropodidae. The record is from RNAcentral.